Molecule: long non-coding RNA, 473 nt
Filed under: Gallus gallus (chicken)
Lineage: Eukaryota; Metazoa; Chordata; Aves; Galliformes; Phasianidae
Source: RNAcentral
UGUGAACUGAAAAUUCUCUUCAAUUUGAAUUAACUGGGUUUUUCUUCUGUGAGUAACCAUUAAACAUGGCAUCCUUCAGCUACCAUGUUCUAUCAGGCUGGAAGAAAGACAAACUCUAAAGUUACUCCAGGCUGACAGAGCUGACAGAGUUUCACAGUCCGGAGAAGAGGCCCAACAACUUUGGGGAAGGGAGUGUAAUGACUCCUGGAACACCACAUCAGUCACACUAUGGAGUAUAUAACAGGCCAAAGAAAAACAACAUUCAACGAUCUUCCAUGUGCAAGGGUAGCUAUUCAAACUUUCAAGUUUUGUUUUUGUGACAGUCUGCAAAGUGAACAGAAAAUGUCACAACAUGACUCCUUUCUCAUGACAGCAGCUGUAAAAAAAAUGGGAAAUAAUAGAAGCAACCCAUUCUAGUUUUGCAAUUUUUAGAUAGUAAUCACUUCACCCUUCUUGGAUUCUGUCAAGAGUUG